AGAAACUUGGAUGGCUUCCCGGAUUUUCAACCUAUUUCCAGCUUGAACAUCGGCGUUUUCGAAGAAGUAUUAGUAGUUAUGGUAACGUGUACAUGGAAAUUCUGCUCGUUUAAAAGGCUAUUAUCAGAAACUUGGAUGGCUUCCCGGAUUUUCAACCCAUUUCCAGCUUGAACAUCGGCGUUUUCGAAGAAUUAUUAGUAGAUCGCACAAACAAGUUUGGCUCUUUUUCAAGGAAAUAGAUGGACAAACAGGAUUUCGGACAUCACCUGCAUCAUAAAAUUUAGUCCAUCGUCAUAGAAUAUGGUA
This is a long non-coding RNA of Photinus pyralis (common eastern firefly), 306 nucleotides long. RefSeq lists it as uncharacterized. NCBI's taxonomy places the organism in Eukaryota, Metazoa, Arthropoda, Insecta, Coleoptera, Lampyridae. The record is from RefSeq and is a predicted model, not a curated record. The transcript is spliced from 3 exons.